This 83-nucleotide transfer RNA is filed under the name Pseudonocardiaceae bacterium YIM PH 21723. It matches the Rfam family "tRNA". From Rfam's summary of the family: Transfer RNA (tRNA) molecules are approximately 80 nucleotides in length. Their secondary structure includes four short double-helical elements and three loops (D, anti-codon, and T loops). The record is from Rfam by way of RNAcentral. Lineage: Bacteria; Bacillati; Actinomycetota; Actinomycetes; Pseudonocardiales; Pseudonocardiaceae.
GUCCGGGUGGCGGAAUGGCAGACGCGCUAGCUUGAGGUGCUAGUGCCCUAACGGGCGUGAGGGUUCAAAUCCCUUCCUGGACA